GAUGAACGCUGGCGGCGUGCCUAAUACAUGCAAGUCGAGCGAACGGACGAGAAGUUUGCUUCUCUGAUGUUAGCGGCGGACGGGUGAGUAACACGUGGAUAACCUACCUAUAAGACUGGGAUAACUUCGGGAAACCGGAGCUAAUACCGGAUAAUAUUUUGAACAGCAUGGUUCAAAAGUGAAAGACGGUCUUGCUGUCACUUAUAGAUGGAUCCGCGCUGCAUUAGCUAGUUGGUAAGGUAACGGCUUACCAAGGCGACGAUGCAUAGCCGACCUGAGAGGGUGAUCAGCCACACUGGAACUGAGACACGGUCCAGACUCCUACGGGAGGCAGCAGUAGGGAAUCUUCCGCAAUGGGCGAAAGCCUGACGGAGCAACGCCGCGUGAGUGAUGAAGGUCUUCGGAUCGUAAAACUCUGUUAUUAGGGAAGAACAUAUGUGUAAGUAUCUGUGCACAUCUUGACGGUACCUAAACAGAAAGCCACGGCUAACUACGUG
Molecule: ribosomal RNA, 497 nt
Filed under: uncultured bacterium
Lineage: Bacteria
Description: partial 16S ribosomal RNA
Rfam family: Bacterial small subunit ribosomal RNA
Source: RNAcentral